Molecule: long non-coding RNA, 750 nt
Organism: Mauremys mutica (yellowpond turtle)
Lineage: Eukaryota; Metazoa; Chordata; Testudines; Geoemydidae
Exons: 4
Source: RefSeq, a predicted model, not a curated record
UCUUGCUCUCACUAAUCGCUCCAAUUGCAUUUCUCAUCUAUAGAGCACUUUAGCCAUAAUGCCCUAGGAUGGACGGAAGUACCACUAUGGCUUCUUUUACGGAUGGACCAACAAAAGCAGGUGAAGCGACUCACCCGAGAGAAACCCAACCCCUCUGCUUGUGAGCGUGAGCCUGCAGCCAGUCGCCUGCCUGCCCUCCCCGUAUUGGCAUGCUGCAAGAAAGAAGCUGAGUUGGAACAGCUGCUGGAAUUACUAGGAGCUGGUGGCUGGCAGGAGCGCAUGCCUUGCCCCAGACUUGAUGCUACAAAUGGGUGCCUGGGGGACUACAUUUCCCAGCCUGCCUUGCUUUGUGGUUAAGAGAGAGAGGAGAACAGCUGGAGCCAUCCUGAGCCAGCAUGGUCCCAUCAUCGCUGAUGGGAGUUCCAGGCAACUCCUGCUUAUGGAGCUGCAGCUUCAGGCAGCCUUAAGCCACAACUACUUCCCAGAGAUUGAGGUCUCCCACUCAGUGACCAACCACCUUCCCUACUCCAGCAGCAUUUUUAAAGGCAACCCUGGACCAGACUCACAGGCUCCUCACCAAGAAAGUAAAGAGCUAGAGACAUGAGAGGCCCAUGCCAGUGACAAGCCAGUGCCUCGACUGUCAGCCGUUUAUUCCAAUUCCCAGUAUCUACAAGAACAGCACUGGCCAAACUGGAAUAACAUCGGGGACAAAGUAAUGAUGCGUAUCAUUGCCAGUGACUUAAAGGAUGA